AUUGAACGCUGGCGGCAUGCUUUACACAUGCAAGUCGAACGGCAGCACGGACUUCGGUCUGGUGGCGAGUGGCGAACGGGUGAGUAAUACAUCGGAACGUACCCAGUAAUGGGGGAUAACUAUCCGAAAGGAUAGCUAAUACCGCAUACGCCCUACGGGGGAAAGAGGGGGAUCGCAAGACCUCUUGUUAUUGGAGCGGCCGAUGGCUGAUUAGCUAGUUGGUGAGGUAAAGGCUCACCAAGGCGACGAUCAGUGGCGGGUCUUAGAGGACGAUCCGCCACACUGGAACUGAGACACGGUCCAGACUCCUACGGGAGGCAGCAGUGGGGAAUCUUGGACAAUGGGCGCAAGCCUGAUCCAGCAAUGCCGCGUGCGUGAAGAAGGCCUUCGGGUUGUAAAGCGCUUUUGUCAGGGAGCAAAUCCUUGUGGCUAAUACCCACCGGGGAUGAGAGUACCUGAAGAAUAAGGACCGGCUAACUACGUGCCAGCAGCCGCGGUAA
Molecule: ribosomal RNA, 500 nt
Filed under: uncultured bacterium
Lineage: Bacteria
Description: partial 16S ribosomal RNA
Rfam family: Bacterial small subunit ribosomal RNA
Source: RNAcentral